Molecule: ribosomal RNA, 451 nt
Filed under: uncultured bacterium
Lineage: Bacteria
Description: partial 16S ribosomal RNA
Rfam family: Bacterial small subunit ribosomal RNA
Source: RNAcentral
AACGAACGCUGGCGGCAGGCUUAACACAUGCAAGUCGAACGGGUGUAGCAAUACAUCAGUGGCAGACGGGUGAGUAACACGUGGGAACCUUCCUAGGGGUACGGAACAACUCAGGGAAACUUGAGCUAAUACCGUAUACGUCCGUGAGGAGAAAGUUUUAUCGCCAUUAGACGGGCCCGUGUCGGAUUAGCUAGUUGGUGGGGUAACGGCCUACCAAGGCGAAGAUCCGUAGCUGAUCUUAGAGGAUGAUCAGCCACACUGGGACUGAGACACGGCCCAGACUCCUACGGGAGGCAGCAGUGGGGAAUCUUGGAAAAUGGGCGCAAGCCUGAUCCAGCCAUGCCGCGUGAGUGAAGAAGGUCUUCGGAUUGUAAAGCUCUUUUGCCAGGGACGAUAAUGACGUUACCUGGAGAAUAAGCCCCGGCAAACUUCGUGCCAGCAGCCGCCGUAA